GCAGCCGCCACGGUAAUACAGAGGGUGCAAGCGUUAAUCGGAAUUACUGGGCGUAAAGCGCGCGUAGGUGGUUUGUUAAGUUGGAUGUGAAAGCCCCGGGCUCAACCUGGGAACUGCAUCCAAAACUGGCAAGCUAGAGUACGGUAGAGGGUGGUGGAAUUUCCUGUGUAGCGGUGAAAUGCGUAGAUAUAGGAAGGAACACCAGUGGCGAAGGCGACCACCUGGACUGAUACUGACACUGAGGUGCGAAAGCGUGGGGAGCAAACAGGAUUAGAUACCCGCGUAGUCCCUGUCUCUUAUAC
This 302-nucleotide ribosomal RNA is filed under the name uncultured bacterium. RNAcentral describes it as "partial 16S ribosomal RNA". It matches the Rfam family "Bacterial small subunit ribosomal RNA", at positions 508 to 807 of the family's 1533-position model. The record is from RNAcentral.